AUACGGAGGGUGCAAGCGUUAAUCGGAAUUACUGGGCGUAAAGAGUACGUAGGUGGUUCGUUAAGUCAGAUGUGAAAGCCCAGGGCUCAACCUUGGAACUGCAUUUGAAACUGGCGAACUAGAGUAUGGUAGAGGGGGGUAGAAUUCAUAGUGUCGCGGUGAAAUGCGUAGAUAUUAUGAGGAAUACCAGUGGCGAAGGCGGCCCCCUGGACCAAUACUGACACUGAGGUACGAAAGCGUGGGGAGCGAACAGGAUUAGAAACCCGGGUAGUCC
Molecule: ribosomal RNA, 274 nt
Filed under: uncultured bacterium
Lineage: Bacteria
Description: partial 16S ribosomal RNA
Rfam family: Bacterial small subunit ribosomal RNA
Source: RNAcentral